GCAAACUUGGUCAUUUAGAGGAAGUAAAAGUCGUAACAAGGUUUCCGUAGGUGAACCUGCGGAAGGAUCAUUACUGGGAAAAAGGUUUGUGGAUCGACGAAAGUUGGUUCGAACACGCCCGCCCACCCUUUGUCACACUGUACGGAUUACUUCGGUCGAAGGCAGCGAAGGCUGUGAAAGUGGUGUUUGUCUGCCACGGCCGGUUUUCACAACGCUAGAUGCAUUUUUGAAAUCUUGUCUGAGAAAGAAAAAAAAGAAAACGAAAUUAAAACUUUCAACAACGGAUCUCUUGGUUCUGGCAUCGAUGAAGAACGCAGC
Molecule: unclassified non-coding RNA, 318 nt
Filed under: uncultured fungus
Lineage: Eukaryota; Fungi
Description: partial contains small subunit ribosomal RNA, internal transcribed spacer 1, and 5.8S ribosomal RNA
Rfam family: Eukaryotic small subunit ribosomal RNA (bases 1-73)
Source: RNAcentral